RNAcentral lists this ribosomal RNA (488 nucleotides) under uncultured bacterium. RNAcentral's name for it is "bacterial SSU rRNA". It matches the Rfam family "Bacterial small subunit ribosomal RNA", at positions 28 to 514 of the family's 1533-position model. The record is from RNAcentral.
GAUGAACGCUAGCGGCAGGCUUAAUACAUGCAAGUCGAGGGGCAGCGGGGGUAGCAAUACCUGCCGGCGACCGGCAAACGGGUGCGGAACACGUACACAACUUUCCUUUAAGUGGGGAAUAGCCCGGGGAAACCCGGAUUAAUACCCCGUAACAUUAUGAAAUGGCAUCAUUUUAUAAUUAUAGCUCAGGCGCUUAAAGAUGGGUGUGCGGCUGAUUAGGUAGUUGGCGGGGUAACGGCCCACCAAGCCUACGAUCAGUAACUGGUGUGAGAGCACGACCAGUCACACGGGCACUGAGACACGGGCCCGACUCCUACGGGAGGCAGCAGUAAGGAAUAUUGGUCAAUGGACGCAAGUCUGAACCAGCCAUGCCGNGUGGAGAUGAAGGUCCUCUGGAUUGUAAACUUCUUUUAUCUGGGAAGAAAUCCAUAUUUUCUAAUGUGUUGACGGUACCAGAUGAAUAAGCACGGCUAACUCCGUGCCAGCCG